RNAcentral lists this ribosomal RNA (476 nucleotides) under uncultured Desulfovibrio sp. RNAcentral's name for it is "bacterial SSU rRNA". It matches the Rfam family "Bacterial small subunit ribosomal RNA", at positions 910 to 1382 of the family's 1533-position model. The record is from RNAcentral. Lineage: Bacteria; Pseudomonadati; Thermodesulfobacteriota; Desulfovibrionia; Desulfovibrionales; Desulfovibrionaceae.
GGAAAGUUGACGGGGCCCGCACAAGCGGUGGAGCAUGUGGUUUAAUUCGAUGCAACGCGAAGAACCUUACCUGGGCUUGACAUCUCGGGAAUCCCCUGGAAACAGGGAGUGCCCUUCGGGAGCCCGAAGACAGGUGCUGCAUGGCUGUCGUCAGCUCGUGUCGUGAGAUGUUGGGUUAAGUCCCGCAACGAGCGCAACCCUCGCCUUUAGUUGCCAGCAUUCAGUUGGGCACUCUAGAGGGACUGCCGGUGUCAAACCGGAGGAAGGUGGGGAUGACGUCAAGUCCUCAUGGCCUUUAUGUCUAGGGCUACACACGUACUACAAUGGCCGGUACAAAGGGCAGCCACUCAGCGAUGAGGCGCUAAUCCCAUAAAGCCGGUCUCAGUCCGGAUCGCAGUCUGCAACUCGACUGCGUGAAGUUGGAAUCGCUAGUAAUCGUAGAUCAGCAUGCUACGGUGAAUACGUUCCCGGGCCUU